This 17305-nucleotide long non-coding RNA is filed under the name Equus asinus (donkey). RNAcentral describes it as "lncRNA (ENSEASG00005030634.1)". The record is from RNAcentral. Lineage: Eukaryota; Metazoa; Chordata; Mammalia; Perissodactyla; Equidae.
CCCGACGCCAGCCGUCCCGACCCGGAUGAAACACUGCGUGACAGGCAGCGAGCGUGGCGGCCAUCUUCGUCUUCUGGGCACGUCAGCUGAGCCGGUUAGGGCCGAAGAGGAGCGUUGCGCAAGCGCGCCCAAGACGGCCACAGGUAACUCCCAUCUGACGGGCGAGGCGUCGCCGUCCUCGCCGGAAGUUUGGCGUUUCUGCGCCGCGGGAGAGGGGGCGGUCGCGGCAGAAGCAGCUGAGUGUCUCCUGAUACCCGGAUGUGAGGCGUUCUGCUGGCCCGCGUUGGAUCCUCCGCCAGGAGUGAGGAAGGUACGCGAGAGUCCCGAGCGCCCCCGCCGCCUGCCGUCGCGCCGCCUGCGUCCUCGCCUCCCUUUGGCAGCCUCUCCGGUGAGCAGGACGCCUCUACCCCUUCCUGUCCCACCCUCAGUGUCGUUGCCUCGCGCGCCUCUUCCUCCUUCUGUGGCCCGGGUUCCUGGCGCCCCUGGGAGGGGUGGGAGGUAGCCAGCCUGCGCGUCUCAGCUGCCCAGUCGCCGCAUCACCUGCCGCUGCUUGCCAGGCGGUCAGAGGAGACAGCUGGAUUCUUCUCUCAGCUUCUGCAUUCAGUCUGUUGUUAUAUGUUGUUCUGGUUGAAGUAUAUGAAGAAAAUCCAGCUUCACACCUAUAUGUUGGGAGGAGUACUUUAAUAACCUUUUGAGAUAAUUGUGAUAUUCUUCUUUGAUGCUACAACAAAACUCAACAAGUGGUAAUUUCUUAAAGGUUAGUUGCAGUGUGGAAUCUCAAGCCAUGUCUGUAUACUUUUUGUACAGUGUUGCACUAAAGGUUGUCCAGUGUGUUUGUACUUUGAAUUCAUCUUUUACUUCGCUUAUAAUUUGGAUCUCACACCCUCCCCGAAAGGGUCUCUGGCAUCCCCAUGCUGCCCAUACCACACUUUGAGAACUACUGCUUUAAUGUAAAUAAUUCAGUAAUUUAGAAUUAAUGUAGGUAUUGAAGCUGACAGUGAUAAUUGUAAUAUGGAAAUGGAGUUGUCAAGUAGUUAAGUGAAACCAGGAUAACUGAGGUAAAUAUUUUCUUUUUUAUGCUCUUUUCAUCAAAAAUGUUAUUGUAUCAGUGAUAUUAUGGCUAAUUAUUAUGGCUAAUAGUUAAUAAGUGCUUAUAUGUUCCAGGAGCUGUUCUAAGGACUUUAUAUUAGGAAAUGUUUAUGUUGUGUCUAUUUUUUUUGGGGGGGUAAGGAAGAUUGGCCCUGAGCUAACGUCUGUUGCCAAUCUCCCUCUUUUUGCUUGUGGAGGCUUGUUGCUGAGCUAACAUCUGUAGCAGUCUUCCUCUAUUUUUUUUUGUAUGUGGGACACCACCACAGCAUAGUUUGAUAAGCAGUGCCUACGUCAGUGCCUGGGAUCCAAACCCAAGAACCCCGGGCCACUGGGUUGAGUGUGGGAACUUAACCACACCACCCGGCGGGCCCCCAUAUUGUUCUAUCCUUAGUGACGGUUAAGCGAAAGACUAAUAUAACAACUUUUUCCCCUACAGAUAGUACAGCCUUUCUGACAUAUAUUAUUGUUUAUAAAGCAGAUAUACUUCCAUUUUAGAGAAUACAUACUGCUUAGAUAAUUUCUCUAUAAGAUAUUUGAGAAUAAGGACUAUAUCUAUCCUCAGCAUCUGUCUCUAUAUAUUUAACAUAUAUACUUUUAGACUAUUUUAGACCAUCAGAAAAUCGAGUUAUUAAAUAAAACAAAUACUAGUAGUUUUUAAGAAGAUAAUCUUGUUAACUUGAAAAUCUGAAACUUACUGUUUUAUUUUGUUAAAUCAUUUCAACUAGUAUUUUAAAGUUUGUUGUGACCACACACACUAAGUGAAAUUUUUCUUCAAAAACAGAAAUAGGUAAUAAUUUUCAGAAGACAAGUUUAGGCUUAUUUUAAAAAUCUGAUGCAUGUUAAAAUAUGCAUUGUUUCAGAUUCACUCUUUCGGUAAUAGCUUUAUGGAGAUACAGUCUACCCUUAAAGAAUACAACUUAGUGGUUUUUAGUAUAUUCACAGAAUUGUACAACCAUUACCACUGUCUAAUGUUAACAUAUUUUCAUCAACCCAGAAAGAAGCCCCAUACCUAUAUUAAUAUGUCACUCUUCAUUUCCUUUCCUCCCUAGUCCCUUACUACCUCUGGUCUACUCUCUGUUUUUAUAGAUUUAUCUGUUCUGGACAUUUCAUGGAAUCAUACAACUUGGGGCCUUUUGUGACUGUCGUCUUUUACUUAGCAUAAUAUUUUUAAGGUUCAUCCCUUGAGGAAGGUAUCAGUGCUCCAGUCCUGUCUAUAGCUAAAUAUAUUGCAAAGGGUUCUUGGACCCAGUUCCAGUGUGUGUAUAUGGAGGCUUCCCAAUACCAACAGGCAGUUCUUGGAUGCCAGCAAGGUGUCUGAGAAUUCAACUCAAUUCUGCUACUAUUUAUCUGGAGAUAGGAUCAGAUUCCACAGGUAAAGGGCUCAGUCCCGCAAGUCUGCCCUCCACUUCAGAGGCCAGUCAGAAGCCCAGGUGCUUGUGACCUACCAGCUACAAAGUGGAGGUUCCCUUGACCCUGUCCUUUGGUUUGAUUAAUUUGCUAGAAUGGCUCACAGGACUGAAAAUCCAUUUACUCACUAGAUUACUGAUUUAUUACAAAGGAUAUUAAAGGAAAGAAUCAACAGCCAGAUGAAGAGAUGCAUAGGGCGAGGUCCUGAACAAAGGAACUUCUCUCUUCAUGCAGCUUGGGGCUUGGCAUAGUAGCCCGCCGAAGUGUUCUGGUUCCGCAAGGUGGAAGCUCUCUGAAAAAAAGGGCUGAUAUGCUGUCCUUUGGGUUUUUAUGGAGGCUUCAUUCGUAGUCAUGGUUGACUAAGUCAUUGACUGUUGUCUAUUGAUUCAACUUAAAGCUCCCCUCCUCUCUCUGGAAAUCAGGGGGCGGAACUGAAAGUUCCAAUCCUCUGAUCACAUGGCUGGUUCUCCUGGUAACCAGCCCCAACCCUUGGGAGGGGUCCAGAAGUCACAUUAUUAUCAGAGUAGAAGGCAUCUUUAUGGCUCUCAUCCCUUAGGAAAUUGAAAUUCCAACAGUUUGGGGGAGCUGUGAGCCAGGAACAGAGACCAAAUAUAUAUAUAUAUAUAUUUUUUUUUACUAUUUGCUCCUGAGCUAACAUCUGUUGCCAGUCUUCCCUUUUUUCCUCCUUCUUCUCCCCGAAGUCCCCCAGUACCUAGUUGUAUAUUCUAGUUGUAGGCUCUUCUAGUUGUGCUAUUUGGGACACCACCUCAGCAUGGCCUAAUGAGCGGUGCCAUAUCCAUCCCCAGCAUCCGAACCAGCAAACCCUGGGCUGCCAAAGCAGAGUGCGUGAACUUAACCACUUGACCGCAGGGCUGGCCCCGUGACCAGAUAUUUUUGAGAAAUAUAUUUUGGUCAUCUGAAUGACCAAAUAUAUAUUUUUUAUACAUCACAAUAUUGCGUCUGUUAUAUGUAUAUGCCACAUUUUGUUUAUCCAUUCAUCAAUUGAUGGACAUUUGGAUUGUGUCCAUUUUUUGGCUAUUAUGAAUAAUGCUGCUAUGAACAUUUGUGUUAGUUAUUGAGAUUCACUUUUGAGCUUUUUUAGUGUGUUUUACAUAGAUAGAAACAGUCACAACUGAUAAGUAUAUUCAUUUUUGAUAUGAAAGAUUCAAACAGUACAUAAACAUAUAUGUAAAAUGUGAAGGUAUUCCUUCAUUCUUUGUAUACCCUUUCAUCCCCAUCUUUUACCACUCUGGAGGUAACCACUGUUUACAUUUUAGUGUUUAUUCUUUUAGUGUGUUUAUUAAUAUGUGUUAGCACACUUAUGUAUGAUACAUUAAUUUAUCUCUUUCUUACAAAACUAUAUUUAUGCAGUUUAUGUACCUCAUUUCUAAUGACUAUCAAAAUUCUAUCUUGGUAUUUUAUUUUUUCUCUUUUGGGCAUUUGGGCUGUUUUGGAUAUUUUUGCUAAUAUAAGUGCUGCUGUUAUCAUUGCUGUCAUUAUAUAAAUUAUCUUUUUUGUGGUGGGGGCUUUAUUUUUUUGAUGUGGGUGGAUGGUAAUUGUGGAGGACGGAUAUAGUGGAAUGAGUUGAGUGUUUGACAGUUGCAUUUAAGUUGCCUUUAAGACAUCAGACUGGAGAUGUCCAGUAGGCUGUUGGGUAUCUGAGUAGCACUAGGGAUGGAGAUUCGUGUUGGGGAUAUUCAUUUGCAUGUUACCAGUUUACCGGUAAUAAUUAAAAGUAUGAAUAUAGAUGAAAUUAUCUGGUCAGUGGCUUUUCUGAUGAGAAGACAAAACCUUGUGGAAUGUUAAUUUAUAAAAGCUUGGUGGAGGAAGAGAAUUUAAAAAAUUAAAGAAAUUGUCCAUGUCUAGCUUUUUUAGAGUUUUAACUACUGUUGAGUUUUACUGAAUACCUGUUGUCAGUCUACUGAGAAAAUUAUAGAAAUUUUGCAAUUUGUUUUUCCUAUCAAGAUAAUUAAUUAUGAAACCACUUUUUACCGUGGUAUUUCUCCUUUUCUUAGAAUAAACUUUUCUUGGUGAUAGUGGGUAUCUUGUUGCUAAAAUGUUGUUAACUUAGGGCUUAUAGUUUUCUUUUUAGCUUUGUUCUUAAGUUUUUGAUCCCCAGCCAUAUUUGCCACUUAAAAUGAGUUGAUGCGCCUGUAACCCACUUAUAUUUUGGAGCCAUUUGUAGUGGAGAGAUUUAAUCUUUGGUGAACAAGUUUGGCCCUGAGUUAACAUCUGUUGCCAGUCUUCCUCCUCUUUUUUUUCUUUUCUCCCCAAAGCCUCAGUACAUAGUUGUAUAUCCUAGUUAUAGACCAUUGUCGUUCUUCUCUGUGGGAUGCUGCCACAGCACGGCUUGAUGAACGGUGGCAGGUCUGUGCCCAGGAUCUGAACCAGUGAAACCCGGGCUGCCGAAGCAGAGUGCACGAACCUAAUCACUUGGCCAUGGGGCCGGCCCUGAGAUUUAAUUUUUGAAAGUUUAGAAAAAUUUAUUAGGGGCAAUACCUUGUGUUAUUGUGUGUGUUUUCUGUUGCAUUCUCUGUUAAUGGUCUAUUGUUGCUUCAGUUGUGACAUUUUGUUUUUAGUUAGUAUUUAUUAGUUUAAACUUUAUGAUUCAUUAAAAUAUUUUUUAAUCUCUCAGUAUUUGUUGGGUAUUUUGAAUGUGAGAAACACUUGGAUUAGCUUAAAUAGUAAGUAAAUGAAUUGGUAGGAUACACAGAAAAGUAAGGAAGAGAAGACUCUGUUUUUAUAAAGGGCCAGAUCUUGUGGAAGAAAAGAAUAGGAAAUCACCAAACACUAGGCCUUGCUGAAGAGCAACAAACCAGACCUUAUAGAAACUUGAACAUAGUUCAGGACUUAGAAGUUGCUGCUCUAGCAUUUGGUUUACCUUCUUGUGAUUUUCCUUGCUAGGGGAGUUAAAACAAGGAAGGCCGAAUGCUCAACCAAUGGUAAUUUUGCCUCCCAGGGGACAUUUGGCACUGUCUGAAGAUUGUCAGAGCUGACGGCAGGGUGCUACUGGUAUCUAGUGGGUAGAGGUCAGGAAUGCUACUGCUAAACGUCCUCCAUACACAAGGCAGCACUCCCACAACGAAGAAUUUAUCUGGUCCAACGCGUUAAUAGUGUGAGGUUGGAAAACUUUGUUAUAGUCACUAUAUGUUGGCUACUCUUGUGUCAGGAACCCACCCUUGAUCUAAUCAGCUAUGUGGAGCAUAGCAGGGUUAGGAGGUUCAGAGUGUAACUAUUUAUGAACUCCCUGAGGCUUUUUUGUUUUUUUUUUUUAAGCACCCGUGGACAUGGUAAAAUUUUCAGAAAGGGUUUAUGAACUUGACGAGUGACUAGACUCAGAUUUUCAGUAAAUAUUUCUCUUAUCUCUUGUACGUGGCAAAAGGAUUGUGCAGUUGAAGUGGAAUAACAAUUGGUAGGUUGGGGCUGGCCCCAUGGCAUAGUGGUUAAGUUUGGCAUGCACUGCUUUGGCAGCCUGGAUUUGCUGGUUUGGAUCCUGGGCAUGGACCUACGCCACUUGUCAGCCAUGCUGUGGCGGCAACCUACAUACAAAAUAGAGGAGAAUUGGCGCAGAUGUUAGCUCAGGGCGAGUUUUUCUCAGCAAAAAAAAAGUAAAGAAUUGGUCAAUUAUUGGAGUUAAGGAGAUUAAGGGCCUAUGGUCAUUCAUGUGAACUUUAUAGCCCAUAAUGAUGGUAAUAGUUUGGUUUGAGAAGAAAACUAUGGUUGAAAAGUUUUUGGUGGUCAGUAGAUUACUACACUGAAGAAUGAUAGAACAUAAGAGCAGAAUGGCAUAAACCUUAAAAGAAAAGUGGAAAGAAUUUUGCAAAGGGUUGAAAAAUGGCUGUGGCUGGGAACACUGCAGGUCCCUUGAUGUGAUAUAACCUGCUUAGGAGGUGUAUCGGUUCCUUUGUCUGCCAUAACAAAUUACCACAAACUUGAUGGCUUUACAACAAAAAUUUAUUUUCUUAUAGUUAUGGAGGCCAAAAGUCAGAAAUCAGGGUGUAUGCAUGGCCAUGGUCCCUCCAUAGCCUCUAGAGGAGAAUUCAUUCCUUACCUCUUCCAGGCUACCUUUUCAUUCUGGAGCUUGUGACCACGUUACUCCAAUCUCUGCUUCUGUUUUCACAUCUCUCUGUCUGUUUCCAUAUGUGUGUCUCUUAUAAGGAUACUUGUUACUGGAUUUCGGGCCCACCUGGAUAAUCCAAGAUGAUCUCAUCUCAAGAUCCUUGAUGUAAUUGCUGCAGAUAACUUUUUUCCACAUAAGAUCACAUUCACAAGUUCCAGGAAUUAAGAUGAGAACAUAUUUUUGGGGGGCUACUAUAUAGCUGGAGAGUUUUGGAGAAAAAGGAAUAGUUUGGAGAGAACCAUUUUUUGCUUAAAGCUAGGAAGUAGAAUUUGCAUUAUGUGAAGAAAUUGAAGGUAGAAAGCUUAUUUUAACUGGGAAAAGGUUCAUGUGGGCCCUUUUGGGAAGAGUUAAGAAAGAGGGAGAUAAAUAGUGAAAGGAGAGUCAGGAGAAAGAUAGUAAGAGAAGAGAUAACCGACAUGAGAAACUUUUAAGACUGUGGAUCUGUGCAGAUUGAAGGUCUUCAUGUGAGAAGUCUGAUGCUAUUGGUAGACCUUGUGGUCUUUGUUUUGUGCCAAGUUCAAGCUGAGUUUUGCUGAAAAGUUACUCUGUUGUCUUAGAAGUGAAAUCUUUCCCAGCUGGUUAGAUGGCUUUCUGAAUUUGCACCAGUGUUUUAUGGAACUGAAGAGGCUUUUGUAAUAGCUUGGGGAAACAGUCCUUUAAUAAAUUAUUUUGAAAUUGAAAGGUGUGCUGAGCUGAAAUCUUCUGGGGGAAUUACUGCACCUUGAAAUGACUAGAAGUUUUCCAGUGAUGUUUGAUAUACCAAGAGCAGAUUGGGUGUAAUAGUCUAGGGUUGUGAAGAGGAAAGGGUGUUUAAUUUUAAGAAGUGUUUUUUUGGUGGUGGGGGUGGUUACACUGAGGUGAUAGGGUAAUUGUUUUUGUCUGACUGGUUGAUGUCAUAUAUUAAUAAAAUUCCUAAAAUUCAAUCUAUCUUUGUGUUCCUUUUAUCAGUUUUACUUGGUAGUGGUAGACCAUUUGGCUAUGCUUAUGUUCUGUUAAGAAUGCUAAUUUGUUUUAAUUUAGACUUUUCAUAUCUCUUUUUGUAUAUGAGGUUAGAAGUGUGUGUGUGUGUGUGUGCUUGUGCACGUUGUACACAUGUGCACACUAAUUUUGACAUCAAAACAGAUUUUCUAUUAUUUUGGGUAACUUUCACUGCAUUCUGAAACAAAAGAAUUAUCAGUUCUUUGAAAGCAGAGCUUUCUCUCAAUCUGGAACACUUUUUGGCCUGUGGUGGGAAUAUGCUUAAUGCAUUCAAGGAAUAGCAAGGGGGCCAACAUAACUGGAUCACAGUGAGCGGGGCAAAACUAGGAAGUAGUUAAUAGUUAACAUCGAGCCUUUGCUUUCACUCUGAUUGAGAUGGGAAGUCACUGGAGGGUUUUGAGCAAAGAAAUAACAGAGCCUGACUUAAAUUUUAAAAGGAUCACCUUGCAUGUUGUGUUGAGAAGAAGCUGAAGGGGAGAGGUAGUGGAGGGACAAGGCUGAAGGCAGAGUUAACCAAUUAGGAAGCUGUUACAAAAGUCCAGAUGAGGGAUAAUGGUGGCUUGGACCAGGGUAGGUAGUGGUAGAGAUGUCAGGCGGUCAGAUUUGGAUGUGUUUUGAAGGUAGACAGGAUUUGUUAAUGAUGGCUUGAUUGGAUAUGAAUUUUAAGAGAAGAGUUGGGGAUGACUCCAAGGUUUUGCACCAAAUGAUUAAAGGAUGAACUUGCUGUUUACUGAGAUGGGGAAAAUCCUUUGGAAGCUUUAGGUUUAGGAGGUGAGAUUAGGAGUCCGAAUAUUGAUAUGUUAAAAUUGCAGGUAUUUAGUAGCCCAAUAAAAAUCUCUCUCUGGAUAGUAUUCCUACGAAUUAAAAUUUUUUAAAUCUUGAGUUGUAGUCUCUUGCAUUUCCAGAGUCUUGUAUCUGUUUUCGUUUUCUUUGACCUGUUGAGUCAAUAGGGUAAUGAAUUUUCAGAACUUUCAUUUUGGUGAGAUUUUAAAAUGUGUUUUAUGUGUACUCUAAGUUUAAAAAAUGGCUAAAACCUUUAUAUGCUAAUAAAGCAGACCUCUUGAAUGCCAGGAGAAAUUGACAGAAAUGCAGUAAGAAUGGAGAACUUUUUAAAAAUUUUCAAAGUAAUACAUGUAUAUUGUUGUUAAAGUCAAAUUGCACUAAAAGCCCUAUAAUGACAAAUAUUGCACUCCUCACCAUUCCCCUUCUCCAAGUACCUUUUUCCAGAAGCUACUGCUUUCACUUUUCUAAUUGUUUCUCUUAGUAUCUAGCUCCAUAUUUUUGGUGGUAUGCAAUAACUGCUGUAUUUUGAUUUAUCAGUUUCAGGUGUUACUGACUUUCGGCCUCUGUAGUUAGAAUUUAGUUCUCCUACUCUCUUUCCUGUAUCCCCGUAGCAGAGUUAUAUUUCAGUUAUUGGUUAAGCCAAUAAUAAUGAGUGGUGUUAUAAGUGUGUAAAUAUUGUUUAUUGCUGAGCUAACUAUUCUUCUGAAGCUAUAUUCUCUGCCCCCCCCCCCCUUUUCCCCUGGAGUUAAUAAUUGCUUCACUUUUCUUUUACCUGAUUUUCUAAGAUGCUAGGGCGUUUUUUUUCCCCCCAAAUGUCGCAUGCUUGGCAGUAAUACCCAUACUCAAACAUCAGGUCCAGUUCCUUCCCCAUCCUACCCCUACUAGCCUCAGGGUUACUUUUGGGAUCCAUCUAUUUCACUGUGGGUUGGUUGCUCUUCUGGCCUGUUCUCCAAAGUGUUUUAGCAGUUAAUGCUGCCAGCAGCAGCAACAUUACCCCACAUUCUCACCAACACUUUGUGUUCUCAAACUUUUAAAUUUUAGCUAUUGUGGUGGUUGUCCAUUGCCUUUUCCUUCUUCGUUGUCAUUGCCUUUGCCAUCGUCUUUGUCCAUUUUUUUCUUCGAUUGGCUGUUUCAUUGAUUUGUAGGAUUUUUUUUUUUUUGGUGAGGAAGAUUCACCUGAGCUAACAUCUCUGCCAGCCCUCCUCUAUCUUGUAUGUGGGAUGUCUCCACGGCAUGGUUGACAAGGGGAGUAGGUCUGCGUGUGGGAUCCAAACCUGUGAACCCAUGCCGCUGAGGUGGAGCACAUGGAACUUGAAUCACUCUGCCAUAGGGCUGGCCCCUAGGAUUUGUUUUUACAUAAUCUUUGGAUACUCAUCUUUUGUAGUGCGUUUCACCUUUCACAUUUUAUGUCUUUGGUUAGUCCAUUUGGCAUUGACUUUAGUAUAUGAUAUGAGGUAGGGAUUUGGUUUCCCUUUUUUCCCCAUAUGAUAACCAGUUGUCCCAGCACUAUUUCUUUAAAAAUCUAUUUUCCAAGCUGUGGUACUAUCUAUGAUAAACCAAUUGACUAUAUAUAUAUAUGUAUAUAUAUAUAUAUAUGAAUAUGAUUUCCUGGCACUCUUAUUUUGUGUCAUUAGUCUAUUUCUUUGGUCUAUUUGUCUAUCCCUAAAUGAGUAUCACAGAUUACUGUGGUCUUACAGUUAAGUGUUGAUAUCUGGUAGGACAAGUUCACCCACUGUGUGUUUUUUUUUAACUGAGAUUUCUUACGGUUUGUGUAGGAUAGGUUUUCUUAAUUUCCAAACAUUGGGCAUUUUCUACGUAGAGUUUUGGGGGUUAUUCCUUUCUAGAAAUAACACGUGUUAGCAAGGUUUCGGAGAAAUGGGAACCCUGUGCACAGCUGGUGGGAAUGUAAAUUGGUGCAGCCAUUGUGAAAAACAGUGUGGAGCUUCCUCAAAAAAUUAAAAAUAGAACUACCAUACAAUCCAGCAAUUCCACUUCUGGCUGUUUAUCUGGAAAAAAUUAAAAACUAACUUGAAAAGAUAAUAUGCACUGCUAUGUUCAUUGCAGCGUUAUUUACAAUAGCCGAGAUAUGGAAACAACCUAAGUGCCCAUUGAUGGAUGAAUGGAUAAAGAUGUGUGUGUGUGUAUACACACACACUAUGGAGUAUUACUCAGCCAUAAAAAGAAUGAAAUUUUGCUAUUUGCAAGAACAUGGAUGGACUUGGAGAGUGUUAUGCUAAGUGAAAUAAUACAAAGACAAAUACUGCAUAAAUUAGGUUCCUGGACCCAGUUUCCAUGAGUAUGUGUGGAGGGGGGAGGCUGGCUUCCCACACAACACCAAACAGUUCUGACACCAGCAAGGUGUCCUACAGUUCGAGUCAGUUCUAACGCUAUCCACUUGGAGAUAACUUCAGAUCCCACAGGUUAAGAGUUCAGUCUGCAAGACUAACCUCCCACCCCCCACCCUCCGCCCACAUACACCCUUCAAACACCAGCCAGUUGCAAGCCCAGGUUGUUACCUGUGCUUCUGAGCAACAGGCUACAGACUGGAGAUUCCAGUGACCCCCCUUCAACUCAGAAUGCCAGUCUCAAGCCCAAGUUGUUACCUGUACUUCUAACUGACUGCCUCUAAAUCCGAGGUUCCCACAACCCCCUCCUCUGGUUUGAUUAAUUUGCUAGAGUGUCUCACAGAACUCAGAGGAACAUUUUACUCACUAGAUCACCUGUUUAUUAUAGAAGGAUGUAACUCAGAAACAGCUAGAUGGAAGAUAUGUGUAGGGCAGGGUAUGUGGAAAGGGCUCGGAGCUUCCGUGCUUUCUCUGAACAUGCCACACCCUCCAAAUCUCCAUGUGUUCACCAACUCAGAAGCUCUCCGAACCCUGCCUUUUUGGGUUUUUAUGGAGGCUUCAUUACAUAGGUGUGAUUGAUUAAAUUGGUGAUUCAUGCAACCUCCAGCCCUUCUCUUUUAACCUAACAAAAGACACCUUCAUCACUCUCAACACUUAGGAAAUUCUAAGGGUUUUGGGAGCUGUGAGCCAGAAACCAUGAAUGAACACCAAAUGUAUAUGAGAAAUAUAUUUUGGUCAUCUGAAUGGCCAAAUAUAUAUUUUUCUUGCAAAUCACAUCAUCACACCGUAUGAUGUCACUUAUCUGUGGAAUAAAAAAAAGACCCAAGCUUCAUAGAUACAGAGAACAGAUUGGUGGUUCCAGAGGUGGGGGAUGAUGAAAGAUACAAACUUCCAGUUAGAAAAUAAGUCAUGGUGAUAUAAUGUACAACAUGGUGACUAUAGUUAAUAAUACAAUAUUGCUUAUUUGAAAGUUGCUAAGAGAAUAGAUCUUAAAGGUUCUGAUCACAAGAAAAAAAUUUUUUAACUGUGUAAGUGAUGGGUAUUAACUAGACCUAUUGUGAUGAUCAUUUCACAGUGUAUACAAAUAUCAAAUCAUUAUGUUGUACACCUGAGACUAAUAUAGUAUGUCAGUUAUACCUCAAUAAGAUAAAAAAUACUUACUACAAAGCUGCAGUAAUUGAGACUGUGUAGUACUGGCAUAAGAUCAUAUGGAUCAGUGGAACAGAAUUGAGAGUCCAGAAAUAAAUGCGUAUAUUUAUGGGCAAUUGAUUUCGACAAGAGUGUCAAGACAAUUUAGUGGGUAAAGAAUAGUCUUUUAACAAGCGGUGCCGGGACAAUUGGAUAUCCACAUGCAGAAGAAUGAAAGUUUUACCCCUGCAUCACAGCAUAUACAAAAUGAACUCAAGAUGGGUCAGAGAUUUAAGCGUAAGCUAAAACUUUCAGACUCAUGGAAGAGAACAUAGAUGUAGAUCUUCCUGGUGUUGGAUUAGGUAAUAGUUUCUUAGAUAUGACACCUGAAUCACAAGCAACCAAAGAAAAUAUAUGUAAUUGGACUUCAUCAAAUUAAAACUUUUGUGUAUCAAAGGAUUCUAUCAAGAAAGUGAAAAGGCAACCAACAGGAUUGGAGGAAAUACUUGUAAACCAUACAUCUGACAAGAGUCUAAUAUCCAGGUAAAGGAACUGUUACAGCUCAGUAAUAAAAAGAAAAGAACCAAUUUAAAAAAUGAGGACAGCAUUAGAAUAGACAUUUCUCCAAAGGAAAGAUGCUCAAUGUAGUCAUUAGUAAAAUACAAAUCAAAAUUAUGAGAUACCACUUUGCACCCAAAAAGAUGACUAAAAUUUAAAAAGAUAAUAAUGUUGACAGGGAUGUAGAGAAAUUGGAACGCUUGUACGUAGCUGGUGGGAAUGUAGAAAGAGUGAUGCAGCUGGUUUGGAAAACAAUCUCUCAAAAGUUAAACUUAGAGUUACGAUAUGGUCCAGCAGUUAUGCUUCUAGGUAUAUCCAAGAGACUUGAAAACGUGUUCACAUAAAAACUAAUUCACGAUUGUUCAUAGCAGCAUUAUUCAUGAUAGCUAAAAAGUAGAAGCAACCCAUUAAACAAUUGAUAGAUAAACAAAAUGUUAUAUAUUCAUACACUGGACUAUAUAGUAUUCAGCCAUUAAAAACAAGGUGUUACUGAUACAUGCUACAAUGUUAUUUGAACCUUCAAAGAACAUUAUGCUAAGUGAAGUAAACCAGUCACAAAAGGCCACAUGUAUGAUUCCAUUUAUGUGAAACGUCCAGAAUAGCCAAAUCCAUAAGGACAAAGUAGAUUUGUAGUUGCUGGGGCCUGGAGGGAAGGGAGAAUGGGGAAGGACUGCUAAUGGGUAUGGGGUGAUGAAAAUAUUCUGGAAUUAGAUAGUGGUAAUUGUUGUAGAACUCUGAAUAUGCUAAAAACCACUAAAUUGUACACUAUCAAGAGGUGAAUUUUAUGAUCUAGGAAUUAUAUAGGAAUUAUAAAAUUGUUUUUAAAAAAUCACUUUAAUCUUAAAAUAUGUUGAGUGAUGUACAAUCUAAAUAUUUUAAUGAUUAAAAUUUGCAUUUUAUUAUAAAGCACUGCAGGCAACUGAGUGUAGCCUUAAAUUCUCAGGUACUUUCUAGCAUGUAUCUUGUAAUCUAUAGUAAAAUAUAAUUGUUAUUGUGGGUUUCUCUCUGAAGUGGUCAUUUUAAGUAAAGUUUGAUUAUUAUUUUUUGGCCCCAACGUUGAUUUCAUUACUAUCAUAUUAAUAAGCCAGCUUUGGAUUGUCAUGGGGGGUCUUGUCAACUUGUUAACAGGUUAGAGAAUGCAUUUUGGUCCUUGCUUGCAAGAUUAUAUUUAAUAGAGUGAGGGUUAUUAAGUUGUGUAAUGCUAGAUUAGUGAUGAUUUAAUAUGUAGGGCAAACUAAAGUGAAGUGAUACCUAGCAUACCUCAACAGGUGAUUGGCAAUUUCUGCAGAAUUGUGUAUCAGUCUACCUCUUUCCUAAGGUGGCUCCCAACUGCCAAGUAUUGUAUUAAAAUAUUUAGAAAUUGGGAGAAAAAGAAGUAAAGUAAGGUAAUUCAUUAUUUUUAAAAUUAGAAUUCUUAGUGUUAAUAAAGGAAAUUAAAUGAGCUUUCUCUGUUUUUUCAAGUUUUUAUCCCUCUUGAGACUUAAUCUUUGGUAAGUUUUGAGCUUCCCAGAAAAUAAAAUUAAGUGCAAUAUGUAUUAGUCGGUUGUCACUGUGUGAGAAACUCCCCUAGAACUCAAUGGCUUAAAACAGCAAUGAAUUAUUCUUGCUUAUACAUCUCUAGAGCAGCUGUGGAUUAGGUUUAGCUAGGCGGCUGUGGGUGCAGGUGGGCUUUCCUUCUCCCUGGGGGUUGUGCUUAGCACAUCAUUUGGGGUUUGGCUCAUUUCUACUCUUUGUGUUUAUUCUGGGGCCUAGACUGAAGGGGCAGCAUCUACCUGGUGAAACUUCUCAUGGUGAUGGCAAAGCUAUAAGAGGACAAGCCCAGCUGCACAAAGACAUUUCAAACCUCUGUGUGCAUCCUUUCUGCUAAUGUCCUGUUGGCCAAAGCAAGUCAGAUGGCCAAGGCUAUGGGGGCAGGGAAGUUGACUCUGCCCACCAUGAGGCCAAAGUAAGGCAUAUGGCCAAGCUCAGCAUCAGAUGGGAAGGAAAAUAUACUCCUUCCAUGGAGGUCGGGAUUGGAGUAGGAGGUAGUGGUUAUUUUUGAAGAAAAACAAAAUCUGCUAUAUGGUGCAAAAAUGAGAUAGUGAUCAUAUUGCAGUUGUGUUAUAUUUUGCAUGAAAUAGUGAAAAAUUGGAGCAAGGCCAUUUACUUAGUCUAGCUUAGUCUCAGUUGUUUUAAUAUAUCAGUUAAUAAGACCAUACUAUUUUUGUAUUCUCUUGUUUUUUUAAUAGAUUGUUUUACUUUAGCUAUAGAUUUUUUUUUUUAAAGAUUAGUUCCCAAACACACAGGACGUUAUUAGAAGCAUCGUUCAUUGGGAGCAUCAUCAAUCAACUUAAAGAAAAAAGUGAUAUGUGCUUUCCAUUUUAGUAAGGUAAGUGGCUUAUACUUUCAUCAUUUAGCGCCUUCCAAGAUGAUAGUCAGUGUGACAAACAUACUUCGUAUUUUCAGAGAAAUUUAACAUAUUUAAAUUUCUUGGCAAGGUUAUAUGUCUACUUAAUAAAACAUUUAAGUGGGUAUCUAGUGAAGAGUAAGCUUUUUUCACACUGUCACUUGGUCCUGUAGUUCUGUUUCCCAGAAAUCUCACUAUUACUAGUUUCUUUUGUAUCCUUCCAUACCUAUUGUGUGCAUCAGCAAGCAUAUAUUUCUAUACAUGUUCCUCCUCCCACUCUCUCUCCUUUCUCUCUUCACACAAAGGGAAGUACACCCUGUUCUGCACCUUGCUUUUUUUGGUUUAACAGUGUUUCUUGGUUGUAGGUCCAUAUCGGUUACUUAUAGGUCUGUUUUAUGGAUGGCUUUAUUAAAGUGUAAUUUAUAUACAGUAAAUUGCACCCUCUUAAAAUGUACAAUUUGGUGGAGUUUGACAGAUUUACAGACUCUUAGAGCCACCAUAACAAUCAAGAUACAGAACAUUUUCAUCACCUCCAAAAGUCUCUCUCUCCCUCCACUCCUGACCCCAGGCAAUGACUCAUCUGCUUUCUUUUUAUGUAGAUUAGGUUGCCUUUUUUAGAAUUUCAGAAAAAAUGGAAUUAUGCAUUAUGUACACUGUGUCUAGCUUUUUUCACUCAGCAUAAUGACUGAGUUUCAUUCAUAUUGUUCCAAGUAGUUGUUCCUUUUGAUUGCUGAGUAGUUUUCUAUUAUACUGAUAGACCACAUUUUGUUUAUCCAGUUCCCCUGACUUUUGGGUUGUUUUGAGAUUUUGGUUAUUGUGCAUAAAGCUGCACUGAAGAUUUUUUUCCUCCCUUUUUGUCCCCAAAGUCCCCCAGUGCACGGUUGUAUAUAUAUUAUAGUUGUAGGUCCUUCUAGUUGUGGUACAUGGGACGCCACUUCAGUGUGGCCUGAUGAGCGAUACCAUGUCCGUGCCCAGCAUUUGAACCAGUGAAACCCUGGGCCGCUAAAGUGGAGCGCACAAACUUAACCACUCGGCCACUGGGCCAGCCCCUGCAUUGAAGAUUUUUGAACAAGUUUUUAUGUGGACAUAGGUAGAAUGGGUGUGAUUCUUGGCUAAAAAAAUCUUUGUCUACCUCAGAGUCUCAAAAAUUUUCACCUUUGUUUUCUUCUGGAGUUUUAUAGUUUUACAUUAAUGUCUGUGAUCAAUCUCAGAUUAUUUUUGUGAGUUGUAUGUAAAGGACUGAUGUUCUUUUUUUUUUUCCCAGUUGGAUAUCUAGUAAUUCCAGCACCAUUUUUUUCAUUCUUUCUUUUCCCCAUGGACUUGCUUUGGCACUUUUGCCAAAAAUUAAUUGACCAUAAAUGUAUGCAUCUAUUUCUGGAUUCUCUGUUCCGUUGAUCUCUGUUCCGUUGAUCUCUGUGUCUGUCCUACUGUCCAGAUUAUACUGUCUUGAUUACUGUAACUUUAUAGUAAAUCUUGAAAUUGGUUAGUGUCAGUAUUGGAAAUUUGUUCUUUUUUUAAAAAAAGUCUUUGACUAUUGUACACGGUUUUUGCCUUUCCACAUAAGUUUUAAAAUCAGGUUGUCAAUUUCUAUAUAAAAAGCCUGGGGGAAUUAUGCCUGGAAUUGAGUGGAAUCUCAACUCUACUUUGAUGUGAUUGUGUGGUAUUCUAUUGCAUAAAUGUAUCAAUUAUGUAACCAGCUUAUAGUGAUGGUUGUUUGUUGGGGAUUCAAUCUAUUCAUGCAGUGUUGCAGAGAAUUUUGUAUUUGCUGUAUUUGUGUCUUUGUGCACUUGUGCAAGUAUAUCCAUAAUAUUAAGUCCUGGAAAUGGAAUUGUUUGAAAUUUAGCAUUUAUAAUUUUGAUAGAUGUUGCUAAGUCGUCCUGCAUAGACCUUGAAUGGGAGAGUACCUAUUACAAACCUUUGCCAAGACUGUGUUGUUAAACUUCUUGAUCUUUGGCCAGUCUGAUAGGUGGGAAAAAUGGUGUUUUGUUUUCGUUUUAACUUAUUUUAUUCUUUAUUAUCACACCAGCCAUCUGUGGUUUCUUUCUUGUGCACAUGUAAUGGUGAUUAGCUCUUGCUAUUUCUUGCCAGUAUUUUUCCUUUAGUUUUUUCUCUCAAACUUAGCUUCUGAAUUUUCUGACAGGGCUUGAAACCUUUUCCCACUCUGAAAAUAAAUAUUAAAAUUCUCCCACAUUUUAAUGUGUUCUUUUAUGUUUCAAUUUUUAAUGGUUAAAUUUUUCCUGGACAUUAAUUGCCUCACUCUUAAACCAAAAUUACUCAGAUGGUUACCCAGUUGUACUAACACCAAUUGUUGAACAAUCUUUUCUUCAUUAAUUUGAAAUUAAUGAAAUUAAUACUGUCUUUAUCUUUACUAAAUUCCCUCACGCUUUUGGGCCUAUUUUUGGAGUCUCUGUGCUGUUCCAUUAAUCUGUGGUCUAUCGAUAUGUUGGAGCUAAAUUGUUAAUUAUUACAAUGAAGUGUAUUUUAAUAUCAGCAAGCACAAAUCUACACCCC